CAGUCGAACGGACUUUUCAUGAAGCCUAGCGAUUGAAAAGUUAGUGGCGGACGCGUUAGUAACGCGUGGGUAACCUGCCUUGUACUGGGGGACAACAGUUGGAAACGACUGCUAAUACCGCAUAAGCGCACAGCUUCGCAUGAAGCAGUGUGAAAAACUCCGGUGGUACAAGAUGGACCCGCGUCUGAUUAGCUGGUUGGUGAGGUAACGGCCCACCAAGGCAACGAUCAGUAGCCGGCCUGAGAGGGUGAACGGCCACAUUGGGACUGAGACACGGCCCAAACUCCUACGGGAGGCAGCAGUGGGGAAUAUUGCACAAUGGGGGAAACCCUGAUGCAGCAACGCCGCGUGAGUGAAGAAGUAUUUCGGUAUGUAAAGCUCUAUCAGCAGGAAAGAAAAUGACGGUACCUGACUAAGAAGCCCCGGCUAACUACGUGCCAGCAGCCGCGGUAAUACGUAGGGGGCAAGCGUUAUCCGGAUUUACUGGGUGUAAAGGGAGCGUAGACGGUUUUGCAAGUCUGAAGUGAAAGCCCGGGGCUUAACCCCGGGACUGCUUUGGAAACUGUAGAACUAGAGUGCAGGAGAGGUAAGUGGAAUUCCUAGUGUAGCGGUGAAAUGCGUAGAUAUUAGGAGGAACACCAGUGGCGAAGGCGGCUUACUGGACUGUAACUGACGUUGAGGCUCGAAAGCGUGGGGAGCAAACAGGAUUAGAUACCCUGGUAGUCCACGCCGUAAACGAUGAUUACUAGGUGUUGGUGGGUAUGACCCAUCGGUGCCGCAGCAAACGCAAUAAGUAAUCCACCUGGGGAGUACG
Molecule: ribosomal RNA, 814 nt
Filed under: uncultured bacterium
Lineage: Bacteria
Description: bacterial SSU rRNA
Rfam family: Bacterial small subunit ribosomal RNA
Source: RNAcentral